GCUCUUGCAUAGCUCAGUCGGUAGAGCGUGAGACUCUUAAUCUCUGGGUUUGGGGUUAGAGCCCCAUGUUGGGCA
This is a non-coding RNA of Podarcis lilfordi (Lilford's wall lizard), 75 nucleotides long. The record is from the annotation of a GenBank genome assembly. NCBI's taxonomy places the organism in Eukaryota, Metazoa, Chordata, Lepidosauria, Squamata, Lacertidae.